RNAcentral lists this long non-coding RNA (1028 nucleotides) under Meriones unguiculatus (Mongolian gerbil). RNAcentral describes it as "lncRNA (ENSMUGG00000013991.1)". The record is from RNAcentral. Lineage: Eukaryota; Metazoa; Chordata; Mammalia; Rodentia; Muridae.
GUGGGUUUAAUCGGCAGCGCCUUGUCUCGUUGAGGGAGACAAAAACUCGAUUGGAUUGCCAGGAACAGCUCACGCGCUUAGUUAAGAUGGGAAGUGUUAAACCUCAGUAAAUCGUGCCCAGCCGAGGACGUCCUAAACCGAGUCGCAUUUUUUUUUUAUUUAUAAUUAUUUGUUUUUCCAAAAUUAUUAAGAUUGUGAAGUGUCUUUUGGUAGUUUUACUAAGUCGUUAACUGUUUUAAAUCUUGCUGCUUGGUUUUGGUAACUCUCAAAACUAGAAUAUAGUUAAGUAAAUGAUGCAUUGACGAUUAAAUCUCCGUUUGUUUUUCUAGAGUCGGGCUGAAGAAAAAAGACCCCCAUGACAACUCCAGAUAUCACCGAGAAUGUUGACUUUUCCGGUGGGGAAAAAAACCAAGGUGCUCCAGUUCUAAAAGACCUCGGAUUUGUUACAUGUUCUGAAAAAUUAUGGUUCUGGUAUGUACUUUUACUUUAUCCUUAAGUUGGCCAUGUUAUAUAUGCAUGCAUGUGCAUACAUCUGUAACUUUUUGGAAAACAGGCUGUUUGUAGAACUUUCAGGAUAUGUUGAGAAGUAUAAUUGACUGCUGGAAAGGUAUAGCUGCUUCCCAAAAGAUUGAGGUUUUUUUUUUUUGAAAAGUUACAUAAUUCUAAUCAGACUUUAUUUGGGACACCAGGGAUGUAGGUGUUGGUUGUAAGAGUGCUUUACCUGGCAUAUACAAGGCUCUAGGUUCAGAAGCCAGAACCAGUUUUGUUGUUACUAUUUAAAGUAUGCCCUGUAGUAUCUCUGUGGAUGUCAAUAUGAUCUUUCUGCCCUGUUGGACUUUGUUGUUGAUUUUAGGAGCACAUAAAUGAUGUUUUUCAUUCACAAGUAAUUCAGACUAGAAUGACAGCAUAUUUCAGGAUAUGGAUUAAAGCAGAUCUGGUUACCUAAUGAUGUUCCUCCAAAGAUGAAUCCCUAGAGAGCUUAGUGUGACUAAAAUAAAUUUGGUUUUUCUUUGUUUUGUUUUUUAUUU